CCGAGUUGACAAACUCCCAACCCCUGUGAACGAUACCUACAUUGUUGCCUCGGCGGAGCAGCCCUCUCCGGUACGGGACGGCCCGCCAGAGGACCCUAAACUCUUUGCUAUAUGUAUCUUCUGAUUACCUAUAUAAUAAGUCA
RNAcentral lists this unclassified non-coding RNA (143 nucleotides) under soil metagenome. RNAcentral's name for it is "partial internal transcribed spacer 1". The record is from RNAcentral.